Molecule: long non-coding RNA, 4420 nt
Organism: Gorilla gorilla gorilla (western lowland gorilla)
Lineage: Eukaryota; Metazoa; Chordata; Mammalia; Primates; Hominidae
Exons: 3
Source: RefSeq, a predicted model, not a curated record
GGUUUCAGGCACAAUGCCAAACAAAGAGUGGCUUCUUGGCAGUUAUUUGUUCAGUGAGUGGAUGAAGGGAUGAAAAUAAAACUUCAAUAUGUGUUGAUUUUUCAACUUUUAGACAACUCAGAGACAAAGCCUGGGAAACUGAAUUAUGGGUAUGGAAUGUGAAUGCUAUUGAUCUUGACAAUGUAAAAAUAGUAGUAAAGACGCAAGGGGAGCUGAUGAGACCCUCAUCUCUUCCACAAAGUAAGGAGUCAAAGACACUCUCUAGGGUGAAUGGGGCAAGAAGACCCCAACUCACUCUCUCUCUCUCUCUCUAUAUAUAUAUAUAUAUAUAUUUUUUUUUUUUUGAGACAGAAUUUCCCUCUUGUUGCCCGGGCUGGAGUGCAAUGGCACGAUCUCUGCUCACCACAAUCUCCACCUCCCGGGUUCAAGCAAUUGUCCUGCCUCAGCCUCCUGAAUAGCUGGGAUUACAGGCAUGUGCCACCACUCCCAGCUAAUUUUGUAUUUUUAGUAAGGGCGGAGUUUCUCUAUGUUGGUCAGGCUGGUCUCAAACUCCUGAUCUCUGGGGAUCCGCCUGCCUUGGCCUCCCAGAGUGCUGGGAUUACAGGCAUGAGCCACCACACCCGGCCUCAUCUAUAUUUUUUAAUUACAGAAUUAAACACUAGGGGAGCUGAAGAUAAGGCUACUUUUGGAGGGUGGGAGUUAGGGGUGGGGAGUGGUGUGGGGAUGCGGGAACUAGAUCCUCAUCUUUCACAGCAGAAAAUUAUUCAAGUUUUAAAUGCAUAAACUAAGAAAUACAGGUAAAACUUAUAUUAGAGGCACGGGUCAUUGGAGGAAGUAGCAAAAAGUGUUAGACAUGGCUGCCCUGAGGGAUGGCAUCAAGGAUGAGAAGAGGGCAGGGAAGAGGGACUCCUGCUUUACAGCAGAAGAUUUUUGAUGAUAUUUGUUUUGUUUUUUUUUAAAUCUCAGAAUGUUUUACAUUAAUUUUCUAAAAACUAACAGAGUUUGAGAGCCCUAGUUGGAGUUAAAAUACAGAGCCCGACUUUGUUCCCGUGAAAAUCAACAAGCACAACAAGCCUUGUAAUAUCCAUGCUCAUUUCAGAGUCAAGACAAAAUUAAUUUGGAAAAGAAAAUACAGCCGGGGACCAGAGUUAGCAACCUCAGGAAAUUCAGGGAAAUGUAAUUGAGUAAGAAUUAUCUCCUUAAUUACUUCUGACCAAAUCAAUAACAACGCUGGAUGAGAAACCACAGUUGCCACCAGUAAGGAUCAAGUCGCUGAGAAACCAACUGGGGUUCAGGCUUGUUUGAAAAGCAAAACACCUUCCUCUUCAUUGUUAGCAAACACGGUUCCUGGGGGUGUGCGCGGAGACAGGAGAAGGCUGCAGUUUGCAGCCUGGGGUGGAGAAAUGAGCUGAACUUGCUUAUUAUUUUCAAACGUGAAAGCCUGAAUAGAGGAGCUCCUUUCUCCAAAGAGGAGCAAGCAUGGAUACCCUUGAUGAUGUCAAAUGCUCAUUUUCAUGCUUUCCUGGGGUUAAUCAGAGACCCAAGCAGGUUCAUCACGCAAAUUUGAAGGAGAUGAGCCAAAUGCCUCAAAGGUAGGUGAGGGAGCAUUUUUGUUUGCAGAGCACAAGCUUUUUGUGGGAACUGCAAAGAUUUCUUUCAAACCAUCUCCAUGUGCCUUUGGGGAGGGAGUGGUGAGGAUCUUUGUCUCUAAGGGGCCCUGCUGGGCACGACCCUCUAGAUCUGUCAUGGUUUUGGAGCUGGGUUAAGAUCUUAUCUAGAGCUGAGAUUCAAGAGUGCCCUAUCUGCCUAACCUCUGACAGACCUACCUGUCCUCAUCCCUGUUGGGGUCUUUGGCAACUAACCAGGACCUUCUCAAGUCCAUCUCACACUUGGUGCCUUGCUCCUUGCUCUUCUGACCUGUGGACUUGUCAAUAAAUCAUCCUCACUGUCCAGAUAUUUCUCCAUUCCAAAAGGUCUUCCUGAGCCCCUCUGGGGGUCCCAGCUCAGAGCUAGGAAACACACACCCACCCCAAAACUCCCUCUCAGAGUCUCAUUGAUGGCAGGGUGGCUGGGGGGAGGUAGGCGGAUAAUUAAGCAGUUAUGAUAUCAUAUGAUGUAGCUGUGGUGGGAGUGAGGGAGCUGGGGGUGUGAGCACACAACUGACCCAGCAAGGGUGGAGGACAGUCAGAAGGAUAAACAAAAUGACUUUUUUUUUUUUUUGGAGACAGAAUCUCACUCUGUCAACAAGGCUGGAGUGCAGUGGCGUGAUCUUGGCUCACUGCAACCUCAGCCUCCCGGGUUCAAGUGAUUCUCCUGCCUCAGCCUCCCAAGUAGCUGAGAUUACAGGCAUAUGCAACCAUGCCCAGCUAACUUUUUUGUAUUUUUAGUAGAGACAGAGUUUUGCCAUGUUGGCCAGGCUGUUCUCGAACUCCUGACCUCAAGUGAUCUGCCCAACUCGGCCUCCAAAAGUGCUGGGAUUCUAGGCAUGAGCCACCGCGCCCGGCCUAAAGGAAAUGACUUCUGAGUACAGUUCUAAAGGAUGAGGAAUGAUUAGUAUGUGAGGUGAUGGAUAUGUUAAUUAGCUUGAUUCAGUCAUCCCACAAUGUAUACAUACAUCAAAACAUCACGUUGUAUGCCAUAAAUAUAUACAAUUUUUCAUUUUUCAAUUGAAAAAAUAAAAGAAGAGGAAGGAGGAAGAUGUGCCAGGCAGAGGGGACAGCAUUUGCAAAGAUCGGGAUGGAGACUCCAAGCCCAGGAAAUCUGCAGACUGGCAGCUAGACGGUACUAGUUUCCUCCGAGGCAUAGAUGCUCCAGUCAACUCCCCAUGGGAGCCUUCCUCUCUCACCUUCCAUCCAUGUGGCUUCGGAGGUGAACACGGGAUGCAGGCCCAGCCAAUCAAAAUAUUCCACCUCCCUGGCUGCAGGGAGGAUCUUAUUUUUUCAUGAGUCUGAGACCCAAAGAAAAACCAAGGUAUUUAGUCUCAGGACAUUUGCUGCUGCUCUUGGGAAAGAGAAGAUCUCUUUCUGCUGGGGUUGCUCCCAUGGAAGAAUGUGAGCCUAGAGCUCUUGGCGACUAUCUUGGCCAUCAACUUGGUAAAGCCUGCCUGAGAAUGAAGGCAACACAGAAGAAAGAAGAAUGUGCAAUCUAAGACUCAGAGAAGCUGGAGAAUUUUCCUAACGUCACACAUCAAAGAAAUGGAGGACUCAGGACAAGAAUACACGAUCCUCUCCUUCCAACAUGUCACCCAGCAGGUGCAAUAAGUCAAAGGGCAGGGUAUGGGAUUUGGAGUCAUACAGACCUGAGUUCACCAGCCAGGGUCUUUGGCAGAUAAGAUUACUCUUUGAGCCUCAGUUUCCUUGUGUGCAAGGUGAGAAUAAUCACAAAGCCUACUUCAUAGGCUUGUGAUGGAGAAUCAACACAACAUCACAUGCAGGCCCAGCCAAUCAGAAUAUUCCACCUCCCUGGCUGCAGGGAGGAUCUUAUUUUUUCAUGAGUCUGAGGAAGGAACAUGAGGCUGCACCUCCUGUGAUGGACGUGAUGUGUGUAUAAAGUUCUUAGGACAGAGCCAGGUUUAUGGGGGCUCUCAAUAAAUGUUAAUUGUGAAUGUAAUUGUUACAAUUAAUAAGCUGUGCUGUUAAUGAAGGUAUAAAAUGCAGGUGAUCUGCCACAUGACCACAGGCUAGUUGCUGAAUUACAGCGGCCAUUGGUCCCACUGGUAAAAUAGGGUUAUUAUCCACCUUUUGCUCAUGACACCAGGGCGUUACAAGAAUUAAUUAGCAGCUUUACAAUGUACUGUGCACUUUGAUGCUCUAUAAACAGAGAAAUGUGAUGGUUGAAUAUUUGUAUGAUAUUCAUUAUUGAGGAUAUCUUGAAUUGGUUUACUGAUGUUAAAAUAAAUUCAACCUUCCAAAAGUGGAUAAAUCUAUCUGAGUCAAACAAAAGAAGACUGGGUUUUUUAUUAUCUGCCAACACCUUAGAAACCUACAACAACUGGACAUCUGGACAUCCAUAGGCUGAGCUCAGUGCCCCGUGUCUUGAACAUAGAAAGAGAUGCUGAGAUUGUCGGGCUGUCUCUUCCUCUAGAUCUGAGCUCCGUCGGGGCCAAGAUUGCGUCUUGUCUUGCAGUAGAUCCCCAGCCUUGAGUACAGGAUUUGAUACGCAGCAAGUGCUGGAUAAAUGCUUGAUGAAUGAAAGGAUGGAUGGAUGGACAGAUGGAUGGACAGUUGGAUGGAUGAAUGGGAUCCUGAACCUCUUGGUGAUAGGAGAUUAGAUGGGUCUGGUCUCAAAUGCUUGUGCCAAAGUAGAUGGGGAGUCACAUCAGGUAUUGGGAGAGAAAACCUCUCAGGCAGUGUGGUAAAUUGGAAGGACACUUGACAUCACACGGACCUGGGUAACCAGCUCUGUGACCAUGGGCCUUGGA